This 975-nucleotide ribosomal RNA is filed under the name Syritta pipiens. RNAcentral describes it as "SSU rRNA". It matches the Rfam family "Eukaryotic small subunit ribosomal RNA", at positions 49 to 950 of the family's 1831-position model. Lineage: Eukaryota; Metazoa; Arthropoda; Insecta; Diptera; Syrphidae. The record is from RNAcentral.
CCAUGCAUGUCUAAGUACACACGAAUUAAAAGUGAAACCGCAAAAGGCUCAUUAUAUCAGUUAUGGUUCAUUAGAUCGUUAACAGUUACUUGGAUAACUGUGGUAAUUCUAGAGCUAAUACAUGCAAUAUAAACACGGACCUUUUGGAACGUGUGCUUUUAUUAGGCUAAAACCAAGCGAUUUUUUCGGAAAUCGUUAUUAUGGUUGAACUCUAGAUAAUUUGCCGAUCGUAUGGUCUUGUACCGACGACAGAUCUUUCAAAUGUCUGCCCUAUCAACUAUUGAUGGUAGUAUCUAGGACUACCAUGGUUGCAACGGGUAACGGGGAAUCAGGGUUCGAUUCCGGAGAGGGAGCCUGAGAAACGGCUACCACAUCUAAGGAAGGCAGCAGGCGCGUAAAUUACCCACUCCCAGUUCGGGGAGGUAGUGACGAAAAAUAACAAUACAGGACUCAUAUCCGAGGCCCUGUAAUUGGAAUGAGUACACUUUAAAUCCUUUAACAAGGACCUAUUGGAGGGCAAGUCUGGUGCCAGCAGCCGCGGUAAUUCCAGCUCCAAUAGCGUAUAUUAAAGUUGUUGCGGUUAAAACGUUCGUAGUUGAAUUUGUGCUUCAUACGGGUAGUACAACUAUAAUUGUGGAUUGUACAUUACCUUAUGUAUGCAAGCGUAUUACCGGUGGAGUUCUAAUAUAUAAUGGUAUUCGUAUUAUUAUGUAUACCUCCUAUUUAAACCUGCUUCAGUGCUCUUCAUCGAGUGUUGUUGUGGGCCGGUACAAUUACUUUGAACAAAUUACAGUGCUUAAAAGCAGGCUCCAAAUGCCUGAAUAUUUUGUGCAUGGAAUAAUGAAAUAAGACCUCUGUUCUACUUUCAUUGGUUUUUAGAUCAAGAGGCAAUGAUUAAUAAAGCAGUUGGGGGCUUAAGUAUUACGACGCGAGAGGUGAAAUUCUUGGACCGUCGUAAGACUAACUUAAGCGAAA